AUAUUUACAGUAUAUACAGGCUUAAUGUUGAUUAGUUAGGAGUACCAAUAGAUAUAUUUACAGUAUAUACAGGCUUAAUGUUGAUUAGUUAGGAGUACCAAUAGAUAUAUUUACAGUAUAUACAGGCUUAAUGUUGAUUAGUUAGGAGUACCAAUAGAUAUAUUUACAGUAUAUACAGGCUUGAUGUUGAUUAGUUUGAAGUACCAAUAAAUAGGGAAGGUUGAGAAAUCCACUAUAGAUAGUUUAGUGAUGGAGUUGAUUAGAGUACUGUAGCGAGAAAUGUUAUACUGUACUGCAUGUGGUCACUAGUAGUAAUGUUAGUGUACUGCAUGUGGUGUCUAGUAGUAACGUUAUAGUGUACUGCAUGUGGUUUCUAGUAGUAAUGUUAUAGUGUACUGUAUGUGGUCACUAGUAGUAACUUGUGGUAAUGGUAUAGUGUACUGUAUGUAGUCUCUAGUAGUAAUGUUAUAGUGUACUGUAUGUGGUCUCUAGUAGUAAUGUUAUAGUGUACUGUAUGUGGUCUCUAGUAGUCAUGUUAUAGUGUACUGCAUGUGGUCUCUAGUAGUAAUGUUAUAGUGUACUGUAUGUAGUCUCUAGUAGUAAUGUUAUAGUGUACUGUAUGUGGUCUCUAGUAGUAAUGUUAUAGUGUACUGCAUGUGGUCUGUAGUAGUAAUGUUAUAGUGUACUGUAUGUAGUCUCUAGUAGUAAUGUUAAAGUGUACUGUAUGUGGUGUCUAGUAGUAAUGUUAUAGUGUACUGCAUGUGGUCUCUAGUAGUAAUGUUAUAGUGUACUGUGUGUGGUCUGUAGUAGUGAUGUUAUAGUGUACUGUAUGUGGUCUCUAGUAGUAAUGUUAUAGUGUACUUUAUGGGGUAGAGGUUCAUCAAAGAGAAGGAUAAUAAAUAAAAUAAAAUAAAAAAUAAAAUAAAUCAAAUUGAGCACACAGCCAUGCAAUCUCCAUAGACAAGCUCAGUGAUUUUCCAUGUGGCACCAUCAUAGGAUGCAUCCUUUCAAACAAGUCAGAGAGCAGGACAAUUAUAACUUGACCUUGGAAGAUCAGCCAUUUUGAUUACGAGUAUCUAUAUUCCAAUGGGUUUAUUGCAGCAUGAAAUUGUUUGUUUGCUUAUGGGGAGUUUUUUUUAAGUAAUCAGUUCAACUUUAUUUCACAUAUAUACUUUUAUUAUGUCUUCAAUAAUUCUAUGAUAAUAAUCUAUUUAAAAAUAACAUUCAUUUACCAGUUAGCCAUCUGUAUGUUAUGGUUGAUUACUUAAGUAUUAUUAAUAAAAGUAUUUUAGAUCAAUGAAGCUGUUUUGAUUUUAAUAUCUUUGAUGAUUUGAGGUGACAGUUGUAUCUAGUGUUGUAUGACGUUUCCAUAUUGUCAAUAAAAAUAUAGUAAAAUA
Oncorhynchus keta (chum salmon) is the source of this 1397-nucleotide long non-coding RNA. RefSeq lists it as uncharacterized. NCBI's taxonomy places the organism in Eukaryota, Metazoa, Chordata, Actinopteri, Salmoniformes, Salmonidae. The record is from RefSeq and is a predicted model, not a curated record. The transcript is spliced from 2 exons.